Non-coding RNA from Styela clava, 277 nucleotides. Lineage: Eukaryota; Metazoa; Chordata; Ascidiacea; Stolidobranchia; Styelidae. The record is from RefSeq and is a predicted model, not a curated record.
UGAAUGCGUGGCAAGGAGAUGUAUCCAACAAGAGAUGUCGCGACAAGUCCCCGGGCUUCAUUUUCCUACGUGUCGAUCGCGAUUUAUCCCUCCGCAGCGCUUUGAAUUGGCGCAUUCUUAUCUGUCGCUCGAAGGAGAUGGCCAUGUUUACUCAGGUUUUAGUUAUUUUCUUGGCUAGUCUACUGCACAAUGCAUUUGCAAAUGUCUGCCCAUCAAUUAUUGGAGAGAAAGAUAAGUUUUAUGAAGCUGAACAAACGUUAAUGUUUCGGUGCGACAA